This 742-nucleotide long non-coding RNA is filed under the name Moschus moschiferus (Siberian musk deer). Its description in RNAcentral is "lncRNA (ENSMMSG00000010204.1)". The record is from RNAcentral. Lineage: Eukaryota; Metazoa; Chordata; Mammalia; Artiodactyla; Moschidae.
CUCGGCAGAGGGAGGCCGGGGAGGCCCUGGGGUACCGAGGAACGCCCUGCAUCCUUCCUAAAGUUUUUCAGCUCCCUCCCCCAACCACCAACCUGCUUCCCUCCCCACUCCCUUCGUCCCCUGGGAAUCGCAGUCUCCGCACUCCGGCUCUCUCAGCGGAAUCAAUAACCAAAGUGUUCCAGGAAGGCGACCCCGGCGAGACCGAGCAGAAAACAGGAGGGAAGAAAAUCUCUUACGCCAACAGUUCGACAAACUGCGGAACUGUGCUAAGAAAGUUUUGCUGGGCGCUCUCCUUCCCCGCGGAAGAUUUCCGUCGCCUCUGCUGCGGGACAGUUGCGGAGUGUCAUGCCAAGACACCACGUACAGCCCACACUUCUGAAAUGUAUUAAGGCAGAGCUGGAGGAGGGACAGAGCUGCCCCGAAAGAAUGCCUCCUAAGGCGGCUGUUCUGCCAGCAUGCUCCAGAAGACAGCGUCACCUGGAGCCUUCGCUCCGCCUUGUUUCACUGGAAGAAGAACUAGGUGUGCCAGCAUGCUCCAGAAGACAGCGUCACCUGGAGCCUUCGCUCCGCCUUGUUUCACUGGAAGAAGAACUAGGUGCGCGAUUCAGUGUGAAGAUGUGGAAAAUGGGGCAGCAUCAGGGAGGCUGGCUGUGAGAGGACUCCCAAGAUUUUCCUUGAAGACUCUCCCGCGUCUCUGAAACCACACAUUCUCAGUCUGAUUGGCUCUGGUGAGAGGUUCUGG